AUUUUUUCAUUUACCCUCAGCUGUCAUUGGUUCUCCAAAUGACCCUUUUACCCUUGAAUAAAUUCAACAUGUAGCAUAUAUGAUGGAUCAAGAUGGUCUUUUAUUUUGGGCUACACAUGUCCUAGACGGACCCAAUCCCCGCGUUGAGUCCCCUAAGUCAAAUGCACAAUGCAGAUAAGCGUUCCUACUAGGGAUCCGAUAUGAGGUUGUGUGUUUCUAAGUUUAAAUCCUGAGAUUAUGAUCUAGACAUGGGAUACCCGAGGGAACACUUGGGGCCGAGGAGGGGGCGACAUACCGAGAGCACUAAAGUCUGCCCGGCCUUGUUGCUUGCCCAACCUCACUCUAUUUGGUAUAACUUCUACAGAAAAAGCGGGCUACGCAAACGUAUGCACCAUUUUCCAGAAGACUCAAAAGGGGUGGUGUAAGGAGACAAUCAUAUACAAUUCAACAAUAUUAAAGCGAUAAACAGUUAGCAUUUUAGCACAAAGGUUCAAAAAAGUACAAUAAUAUCAACUAUAAAUAAUCCAAGUAAAAAUCAUGAAAAAGCUCGAAUUCUUGAGCCCUGAACCAGGGUAUCUGGGAGCAAGUCCACAGUAGAGUCGAUAGAGCUGUCACACCUCCUUUUGCAUCACUACAUGGUAUAAUAAAUGGAGUUUUUUCCAAUUUAAGUGACAAUCGAAACGGGAUUAAUUAAAAAUCAGAGUCGUCACCUGGGAAAAUUUAUGGUAUCCCAAGUCAUCGGUUUAAAAUCUCGAAUCCAGGAAAGAAUGACUUUGUUAUUAUAGUCUGCGAAUCAGAAAUCCGGGUAAGGAAUUCUGUUAUCCCUGGAGAAGGUGUUAGGUACUUCCGAAUUUCGUGGUUCUAAAACUGUUGCUUUGAUUCUACUUCGCAUGUUAUAUUGUUUAAUUACUAAUUUUUAAACCUAUGUGCUUUUGCUUCUUUUACCACUUUUAAUUAGAAAAUCAUCUUAAAACGGGUUAAUCAUACAUAUACGUGCUUGUUUGGCGUGUCAAAAAUCAUGUCAUGCGAACGUGUCCAUAAUUAAUAACGCAUUAUUAUUUUUAAAGAAAAGUUUGGGCCGAAGUUGCGCGAACGCAUACUCCAAUUUUGUUUUUAUAAGUGUAAUUGUGUUACGCGAACGUAUA
This 1145-nucleotide long non-coding RNA is filed under the name Nicotiana benthamiana. Its description in RNAcentral is "long non-coding RNA (NBEN_LNC008646)". The record is from RNAcentral. Lineage: Eukaryota; Viridiplantae; Streptophyta; Magnoliopsida; Solanales; Solanaceae.